Molecule: ribosomal RNA, 301 nt
Filed under: uncultured bacterium
Lineage: Bacteria
Description: partial 16S ribosomal RNA
Rfam family: Bacterial small subunit ribosomal RNA
Source: RNAcentral
CAGCCGCCGCGGUAAAACGGAGGGAGCUAGCGUUGUUCGGAAUUACUGGGCGUAAAGCGCGCGUAGGCGGUUACUCAAGUCAGAGGUGAAAGCCCGGGGCUCAACCCCGGAACUGCCUUUGAAACUAGGUGACUAGAAUCUUGGAGAGGUCAGUGGAAUUCCGAGUGUAGAGGUGAAAUUCGUAGAUAUUCGGAAGAACACCAGUGGCGAAGGCGACUGACUGGACAAGUAUUGACGCUGAGGUGCGAAAGCGUGGGGAGCAAACAGGAUUAGAUACCCGAGUAGUCCCUGUCUCUUAUAC